This is a microRNA precursor of Ailuropoda melanoleuca (giant panda), 74 nucleotides long. Ensembl annotates it as microRNA 301b. Its record names the gene MIR301B. The record is from Ensembl. NCBI's taxonomy places the organism in Eukaryota, Metazoa, Chordata, Mammalia, Carnivora, Ursidae.
CAGGUGCUCUGACGAGGUUGCACUACUGUGCUCUGAGAAGCAGUGCAAUGAUAUUGUCAAAGCAUCUGGGACCA